RNAcentral lists this ribosomal RNA (253 nucleotides) under uncultured bacterium. RNAcentral describes it as "partial 16S ribosomal RNA". It matches the Rfam family "Bacterial small subunit ribosomal RNA", at positions 524 to 776 of the family's 1533-position model. The record is from RNAcentral.
UACGUAGGGUGCAAGCGUUGUCCGGAAUUAUUGGGCGUAAAGAGCUCGUAGGCGGUUCGUCGCGUCGGCUGUGAAAACCUGAGGCUCAACCUCAGGCCUGCAGUCGAUACGGGCGGACUUGAGUACUGCAGGGGAGACUGGAAUUCCUGGUGUAGCGGUGAAAUGCGCAGAUAUCGGGAGGAACACCGGUGGCGAAGGCGGCGACCUGGGUAGAUACUGACGCUGAGGCGCGAAAGCGUGGGGAGCAAACAGG